Molecule: ribosomal RNA, 459 nt
Filed under: uncultured bacterium
Lineage: Bacteria
Description: partial 16S ribosomal RNA
Rfam family: Bacterial small subunit ribosomal RNA
Source: RNAcentral
CCUACGGGAGGCAGCAGUGAGGAAUAUUGGUCAAUGGCCGCAGGGCUGAACCAGCCAAGCCGCGUGAGGGACGACGGUCCCAUGGAUUGUAAACCUCUUUUGUCAGGGAGCAAAGUCCGCCACGAGUGGCGCUCUGCGAGUACCUGAAGAAAAAGCAUCGGCUAACUCCGUGCCAGCAGCCGCGGUAAUACGGAGGAUGCGAGCGUUAUCCGGAUUUAUUGGGUUUAAAGGGUGCGCAGGCGGGAUGUUAAGUCAGCGGUAAAAGUUCGGGGCUCAACCCCGUCGUGCCGUUGAAACUGGCGUUCUUGAGUGAGCGAGAGGUAUGCGGAAUGCGUGGUGUAGCGGUGAAAUGCAUAGAUAUCGCGCAGAACUCCGAUUGCGAAGGCAGCAUACCGGCGCUCAACUGACGCUCAGGCACGAAAGCGUGGGUAUCGAACAGGAUUAGAUACCCUUGUAGUC